Molecule: ribosomal RNA, 644 nt
Filed under: uncultured organism
Description: SSU rRNA
Rfam family: Bacterial small subunit ribosomal RNA
Source: RNAcentral
GAACGCUGGCGGCGUGCUUAACACAUGCAAGUCGAACGAAGCGCUUAAACGGAUUUCUUCGGAUUGAAGUUUUUGUGACUGAGUGGCGGACGGGUGAGUAACGCGUGGGUAACUUGCCUCAUACAGGGGGAUAACAGUUAGAAAUGACUGCUAAUACCGCAUAAGCGCACAGUGCUGCAUGGCACAGUGUGAAAAACUCCGGUGGUAUGAGAUGGACCCGCGUCUGAUUAGCUAGUUGGUGGGGUAACGGCCUACCAAGGCGACGAUCAGUAGCCGGCCUGAGAGGGUGAACGGCCACAUUGGGACUGAGACACGGCCCAAACUCCUACGGGAGGCAGCAGUGGGGAAUAUUGCACAAUGGGGGAAACCCUGAUGCAGCGACGCCGCGUGAGCGAAGAAGUAUUUCGGUAUGUAAAGCUCUAUCAGCAGGGAAGAAAAUGACGGUACCUGACUGAGAAGCACCGGCUAAAUACGUGCCAGCAGCCGCGGUAAUACGUAUGGUGCAAGCGUUAUCCGGAUUUACUGGGUGUAAAGGGAGCGUAGACGGUUGUGUAAGUCUGAUGUGAAAGCCCGGGGCUCAACCCCGGGACUGCAUUGGAAACUAUGUAACUAGAGUGUCGGAGAGGUAAGCGGAAUUCCUAGUG